UCGUGCUAGGCGGGGAGGUAGCGGUGCCCUGUACCCGCAAUCCGCUAUAGCGGGGCUGAAUUCCCGCCCGAGGGGGGGCUUUGUGGGGUCUGCCCCCGGUACGGAGCGAUGAGGGUCGGGACCCGCGCAACAGGAGCUUGUGAACCCCGUCAGGUCCGGAAGGAAGCAGCGGUAAGCAAGAGGGCCUGUGUGCCGCGGGCCAGCCUGGCUCGAGCCACCGGCCGGGGUUACGCCUGGAAGGCCCGCUUCGACGGCGGGUGCACGA
Molecule: signal recognition particle RNA, 265 nt
Filed under: Bacillota bacterium
Lineage: Bacteria; Bacillati; Bacillota
Also listed under: 1 other name
Description: Firmicutes bacterium (anaerobic digester metagenome) signal recognition particle sRNA large type
Rfam family: Bacterial large signal recognition particle RNA
About the family: The signal recognition particle (SRP) is a universally conserved ribonucleoprotein involved in the co-translational targeting of proteins to membranes. Archaeal SRP consists of a 7S RNA and homologues of the eukaryotic SRP19 and SRP54 proteins.
Source: RNAcentral